UGUUUGUUGCUAAAAUUAAUGUAAAUUUUAUUUUAUUCUAAAGCUAAAACAGCAAAUUAUAAUGGCUUUAACAUCUCGCCAGAUUUCGUUUAGCUCUAGUGAUUCGGAUUCAGCAUCGGAGAUGCCAAGGGUAGUAAAAAAGAGAAAAAAAACCUAUAUACAACAUUACCAAGAUAAGUGGGAACAAGAUGAGCGGAUUAGGAACUGGCUUACAAAAAGUAAGAAAGGGUCUACUUUUGGCUAUUGUUGUCAGGUAUACAACCAGAGUAUACUUUGAAAUUGCCUAUUUAUGGCUUGUCAGACAUUGACAAAAGACAACUGAUGUUUAGUAGUUGUAGGUUGGGUUGUUGGUAUGACUUGCACUUAUGGAGAAUAAAGCAAGUAAUAAAAUAAUUAUAAUGUGUUAUUAAUCUAUCUCAUUAUUCAAGUGUACCCAAUCAAGUGCUCCCAAAUUACAAGUAGAAAAACAAAUAUAAAUUAACAUGGCGCAGUCCGGUAAAAAGCAAAAUUAAGUUUGGAGGUAGGGAAACCGCAUGGCCAUACCCCAGUUGGCCCCAAGUUCGUAAUAAAAUAAGCUAAUAUGGGUGACAGCCGAGGUAUUUCUCCAAUGCGGAUGCAAGGGAAUGUUGCGGAAAAUUGGAGAAUAUGGCGAAGCAGAUUUGAGAAUUACUUAAAGGCUUCAGAAGUCACUAAAAAGUCAGAAGAAGUACCGUGUGCCCAACUUUUACACUAUGUGGGCAAAGAAGGAUUUAACAUUUUUAGUACCUUCUCAUUUGGCCAAGAAGAAAAAGACAAGUUACAGCCUCUGCUCAGCAAAUUUGAGAUGCAUUUCAAACCUAAGGUAAAUUUAUCCUAUGAACGUUAUAUAUUUUUUACCAGGAGGCAACAGGCAGGGCAAACCCUAGAGCAGUUCAUAGUUGCUUUGAAAGAACAGGCACAAAAAUGUAAAUUUGAUGCCUUGGAGGAGGGUCUAAUUAAGUGUAUGGUUAUCUGUGGAGUUCGGAGUAACGAGCUCAGGGAAAAGCUUCUACAGGAUGACACUUUAACUUUAGACCAAGUAAUCGAGCAGUGCAAAAUUUUGGAAUUUGCCAAGGAGCAGAGCCGGGAGAUGCAGUCUGAAGAUACAUUCAAGGAUAUUAAUGAUAUUCAUAACAGAGCGAGAUUUGAGACAAGACUUCAAAAUAAGCAGGGCUCAAGAAAUGGACAAAAACAAAACCAGAAGCAGGAACAACUUCACCAUGGAGCUAGUCUAGGUAAAAAAGUUAUUUCAUGUACUAAAUGUGGUAGAACUCACACUUUAAAUAAUUGUCCAGCUUAUGGCAAAUUUUGUUUAAAAUGCAAAAAGAAAAAUCAUUUCUCAGUAGUAUGUAAAAAUUCUACAUCAGUACAUGAGGUAACAGAGGAAAACGAGAUUAAUUCUGUAGUAGAAAUUAAUGAAAGAAAUUACAUAGAUGCAUUUUUGUACAUUGAUGCAAUAGAAAGUAGGGAAAAUAAAAAUUGCAUGUCAGAAAAUGAAUGGUUUACAGAUCUGUUUGUAAAUAAUCAUAAAUUUAAAUUAAAAGUUGACACAGGUGCAAUGUGUAAUGUAUUAUCUUUAGACAACUUAAAACACUUAGGACUAUUUAAUAUACCAAUAAAAACUACAAAUUGCAGGCUUAGGUCAUACACAGGGGACAAUCUAAAAGUAGUAGGCAUAUGUGAAUUAAGUUGCAAGAAAAAUAAUAAAAUGUUUAAAUUGGAGUUUUAUAUUGUAGAAAGUAAUACACAGGCUAUUUUGGGCUUGUCCUCUUGCAUAAAUCUAGGAAUUAUAAAAAAGAUAGAAUCUUUAAAAAGUGAAAAUAAUGAGUAUAAAGACUUAUUAGAUAAAUAUAAAGAAAAUUUUGAGGGUAUAGGUUGUUUACCAGGUAAAUAUCACAUAAAAUUAAAAGAAAAUGCACAGCCAGUUGUUCAUGCCACAAGAAGAGUAGCUCUCCCACUGCUACCAAAAUUAAAAGAAAGCUUAGUGGAACUUGAAAAACAAAAAAUAAUUAAAAAAGUGGAAGGAGCAACUGACUGGGUUAAUGCUCUAGUUAUAGCUAGAAAACCAAAUGGUAAAAAAAAAAAAAAGAUCUGAAUGAAAGCAUACAGAGGGAACAAUGUUUAAUUCCAACGCUGGAAGAGAUUACAGCUAAAAUGGCUGGUGCCAAGGUUUUUUCUACAUUAGAUGCAACUUGUGGGUUUUACCAAAUUGCUCUUGACAAAGAAAGUACAGAUCUUUGUGUGUUUGGCACGCCAUUUGGGCGGUAUAAAUUUCUGAGAUUAUCAUAUGGAAUAAAGUCUGCACCUGAGGUUUUUCAACAUAAGUUUCGGGAAAUAUUUCAAGGUUGUGAAGGGACAGGAAUUUAUAUUGAUGACUUGGUAAUUUUUGGAAAAGAUAAAUUAGAACAUGAUCUGAGGUUGAUAAAGGUCCUAGAAACUGCAAAAUCUAAUAAUAUUAAAUUUAAUCUGGAAAAGUGUCAUUUAGGUAAAUCUAAUAUAAAGUACAUGGGACACCAAAUUUCAGGUGAUGGAGUGUCGUUAGAUGAGUCAAAAUUAGCAGCAAUAAAGCAAUUGAUAACACCUACAUGCAAAGAGGAUGUUCAGAGGGCUUUGGGAAUGCUUACUUAUGUUAGUAAAUUUAUUCCUAAUUUUUCAACAAAUUCAGAGCCUUUAAGAGCAUAACUGAAAACAGAUGUAAUCUUUACAUGGGGAUCUUUGCAGCAAAAAGCAUUUGAGAAUUUAAAAAAUAUCUUAACGUCAAGUCCAGUCUUACAAUUUUUUGAUAUACAAAAAGAAACAGUAAUUUCUGUAGACAGUUCAAAGUCAGGGGUAGGAGCAGUUUUGCUUCAAAAUAACUUACCGUGUGCAUUUGCCUCCAAAGCUUUAACUGAAACCCAAGAAAGAUAUGCGCAAAUUGAAAAAGAAAUGGCAGCAAUAUGCUUUGGUUUAAACAGGUUUCAUGAAUAUAUCUUUGGGAAAAAAGUUAAAGUGGAGACAGAUCACCAGCCUUUAAUAACAAUUUUUAAAAAGCCUUUAAAUAAGUGCCCUCCUAGACUUCAAAGAAUGUUAUUACAGGUACAAAAAUAUGAUUUAGAAGUAUACUAUAAGCCAGGCAAAAAACUUAUUAUAGCAGAUACUUUAUCAAGGGCUUAUAUUUAAGACAAAAGUUAUGAUAAUUUUGAUAAUGAAAUGCAGGCACAAGUAUGUCUUGUAGUGUCGGAAAUAAAUGUUACAGAAGGAAAAUUAAAUGAAAUUGAAAAAAUGACUUUAAGUGAUAAAACUCUACAGGAAUUAACAACUGUUAUUUUAAAUGGGUGGCCCAAUUCAAUUAAAAAAGUCAGGGAGUGUAUAAAACCCUAUUUUAAAUUCAGAGAUGAGUUCACUUUGCAUAAAAAUUUGAUUUUAAAAGGAAAUUGUCUAGUAAUACCUAAAAGUUUGCACAGUGAAAUGUUAAACAAAGUACACUAUAACUAUUUGGGUGUUAAAAAGUGUUUGGACUUAGCUAAAGGUUCAAUUUAUUGGCCCACAAUGUCUAAUGAUAUUAAACAAAAAAAUGAAUCAUGCUAUGUAUGUCAAAAACAUUCUAAAUCCCAAACUCCUGAACCCUUAAUAUGUCAUAAUAUACCCUUAAUCCCAUGGAAUAAAGUAGGUUGUGACUUGUUUGAGCUGUAUGGUGAAAAAUAUUUACUUUUAAUUGAUUAUUAUUCAAAAUAUAUUGAAAUAGAAAAGUUAAAUUUUGACACUUAUAGCUCUACAGUAGUACAAAUAAUGAAGUCAAUAUUUUCCCGACAUGGGAUUCCCAGAAUAGUUAUUUCUGAUGGUGGACCUCAGUUCAUGUCAGAAAUAUUUAAAAGAUUUACUAAAGAAUGGGAAUUUACUCAUCUUGUUAGAUCUAAAAAUAUGUUUAAAAAGGUCUUAGAGGAAAAGAAAGAUAUCUAUUUAGCUUUGCUGUAUUAUAGAAAUAUGCCAAUUUUUGACAAUGUUUCUCCAGCAAACUUAUUAAUGUCGAGAAAUCUAAGAACAACUAUUCCUGUCACUGAGCAAACCUUAAAACCAUAUGUAAUAGAUACUAAGAUUUAUACUAAGUUUUUGGAAAAAACACAACAGGCACAGUACAAUAAUUAUAAUAGGCCAGGAGUUAAAGAGUUACCAGACAUUUUGCCUAAUACCAAAGUUGUAAUUCAAUUAAAGCCUAAAGGUAUUUGGGUGCCUGGUAGGGUUGUCCAAAAACUUAGAGACAGGUCAUAUCAAGUAAAAACUGAUUCCGGCUCUAUAUUUAUUAGAAAUAGGAUUUUUAUAAAAGUUGUGCCUAGAUACUAAAGAUAUAGGGGUGAAAGAUGAAUAUAAAUCGAUUAGGUUCUUCUCAGACAAUGAGGGGGAUGAAGGUAAAAACAAAAAGUGUUUCUUAGAGUUAAGUGAAAGUGAACUAGGGAAUGAAAGUGAAAAUGAGUCAGAAGACACUGAGAUGUAUAGUGCAGAAAGUGAGGAUAAAGAAGAAAAAAAUUUAAAUCCUGUGGUUACUCGUAGAGGUAGAUUAGUUAGAGCACCUACUAGGUUAGAUCUUUAAGGAUGUAGUACUGUAAGUUAAUCAGGAUAAGAAUGUUUAUUUUUUUAAUUUUAUAAAAAAGGGAGAUGUCCGGUAUAUAACCAGAGUAUACUUUGAAAUUGCCUAUUUAUGGCUUGUCAGACAUUGACAAAAGACAACUGAUGUUUAGUAGUUGUAGGUUGGGUUGUUGGUAUGACUUGCACUUAUGGAGAAUAAAGCAAGUAAUAAAAUAAUUAUAAUGUGUUAUUAAUCUAUCUCAUUAUUCAAGUGUACCCAAUCAAGUGCUCCCAAAUUACAAAUAGAAAAACAAAUAUAAAUUAACAAUUGUAAGGCGUGCAAUAAAGACUUUGUAUGUGGUGAUCUGCGAUGCAGGAGACAUUAAAAUUUAUGACACUCUCCUACCAAAACCGAACAAUAUAACAGAUUCAAUUUCUUGCACCGAUGCUCAAGAAGACAUACUACCUCUGGCUGAAAUUCAAAAUGUUUCAACUACCAAAUCAAUACUUGCUAGCAAUGAAAAUCAUACAAUCAAUAAUAUAGCAGAUGAAUGUCCAGAAGAUGAAAAAGAAACACUAUCUCAUGUUAAAGAACAAAAUGUUGUAAUAACUGAAUUUGAUAGUGAUUAUGACAACAGAGCAUCGUCGUCAGAUAAUUAUAAUCCUGAAAAUGAAUCUGAUAGUACAAGCAGUUCUUCUAGUUGCUCCACUUGCUCUACAUCCUCAAGCUCUUCCAGUUCUUCUAAGGACACAAGCGAAGAAACAAAAAAACUUCCACUAAAAAGGAAAAAGAAAAACAUUGGAACUUGGAAAAAAAUAUCAGAAAACAAAAAAGACUUAGAGGAGAGGCAUACUUAAGUGUUAAAAAUAUAGAGAAACCAGCAAGUCCGUGAUGGCAAAGCGAAACAUAAAUGCCUCGAAUCUGUUUCAGAAGAGAAUAGGUCAAACAUUUAUGAAGAAUUUCGGCAACUCUCAUCAUUAGAUGAUCAGCGGAUUUUCAUUAUUCAUCAUGUUGAACAAAUACAAAAAAAAAGCACCAGAAAUAUAGAAACUUCCAGAAGGGUGAACACCUGUAAUUAUUUUCUUACCGUUUAUGGACAAAAAAAUAAAGUGUGCCGCGAAUUUUUCAUAUCUACACUUAAUGUAACAGAUUCAUUUAUAAGAAUAUCUUUACAAAAACGAUCUUCUACUGGAACAAUAGAAAAAGACCGCCGUGGCAAACAUACUCCUGCUAAUAAGUUAACUGAGGAUUGUUUGCAAAUGGUAGGUGAUCACAUUUUAUCAUUUCCUGCAGUUGAGUCCCACUACUGCAGGGCUUCAAGUAAAAAAAAUAUUUGGACCCUACCCUAAACUUGUCCAUAAUGCACAAUAUGUACAAAUCACAAUGCAAAGAAAAAAAUAUUCGCUCUGUUUCAAUCGAAAGAUACAGACAAGUUUUUAAAGAGUAUAACGUGGCCAAAGCCAAAGAAGAACCAGUGCAAGAUAUGUUUGGCACAGAAAAAUAUGACUGGAGAAGAAAAUGAAGCGCAAGAACAAACGUUCCAGCAACACUUGAGAAGAAAAAAAUUGGCACGCAAGGCUCGCAGUGCUGAUAAACUGGAAGCAAUAAACAAUUCUACUCUAUUAGCAUUCAAUUUUGACCUUGAAGCUGUACUCACAACUCUAAAAGGAUCUGCAGGACAGAUAUUUAUUUUACUUGCGCAAGUUAGCUGUUUAUAACUUGACAGUUUAUAAUAUUGGAGAUCAAGAUGGCAUUUGCUAUCUAUGGGAUGAAACCCAGGGUAAAAGGGGUUCAAAUGAAAUCGCUUCUUGUAUCUAUGAAUACGUAUGAUCUAAUCCAGAAGUUAGAAUGAUGUCAGAUGGCUGUGGUGGCCAGCAAAAGAAUUCAAAUUUUGCUGCUAUGUGUAUGCAGCUCAUUUCUGUUCAUCCUAGCUUGAAAAUCAUAGAUCAUUUUUCGAAAGCGGACACACUGAAAUGGAAUGCGAUUCCAUACAUUCCAAAAUUGAGCAGAAAGCUAAGCAUGUUCCUGUAUACAUUCCUGAAGGUUGGGCGCAAGUAAUACGAGAUGCUCGUAUGAAAGCACGCCCAUUUGAAGUGAGGAGCAGAAGCUUUGAUGAUGUUUAUGAUUUUAAAGAAUUUGCAGCGCAAAAAUUUGAGAUGAACAAAAUACCAUGGCGUAAGGUUUGCUGGAUUCGUUAUCUUAAAUCGGACAUGACGAAGGUGUUUUACAAAAUGGAUUUUGAACAAGAAUUUCAUGACAUAAACUGCAUGAAACAAUUUCGAGGUCGACCAAAAGUUUCACUUUAUACUCAAGCUCAUUUAAGCGUAUGAAUUUAGUUCCUUUUGUAUUUUCAGUAUUUUUUGAGAAAAUCUUUUUCGUUUUUAUAGUUUAUUUUGCCAAUGAUUUGGAAGUUUAAGUUGUUUUGUUUUCUUAGAUUUAUAGAUUAUGAUUUAGAGUUUAUCCUAGUUUCCCAAUGAAAAUAUACAUGUUUAUUUAUAUUUCAAAUCAAUAAAAAUAUUGAAAAUCA
Molecule: RNA transcript, 7088 nt
Organism: Anthonomus grandis grandis
Lineage: Eukaryota; Metazoa; Arthropoda; Insecta; Coleoptera; Curculionidae
Gene name: zinc finger CCHC domain-containing protein 10-like
Exons: 5
Source: RefSeq, a predicted model, not a curated record